UUGAAAGGGAAACGAUUGAAGUCAGUCGUACCUGUGGGUAAUCAGCCUUUUGGGUGUGAUUUUGUGGAGUGUGAGGGGUUAAACGCCUUCAUGCCUGCAUAUUCGUGCACUUUGGGUGUAUUUACCCGUGUGGUAAGUUAACAUCAAUUUCGGUGGUCAUAAAAUGGCUGGAGGAAUGUAGCUUCGAUCUUGUAUUGAAGUGUUAUAGCCUUCGGUAGAUGUGAUGAUCGGGAUUGAGGAUUGCAACGGAUACCCUUCGGGGCUACCUGUCUGAUCUCUGAUCGUUGCUCUGGUGCCGAAAGCUUGCUUACGGUUAUCAAAGUCGAUGGUCAAUAGGUUAGAACGGGUUAAAUUCGUUAAGGAUGUUGACGUA
RNAcentral lists this ribosomal RNA (373 nucleotides) under uncultured Glomeromycotina. RNAcentral's name for it is "LSU rRNA". The record is from RNAcentral. Lineage: Eukaryota; Fungi; Glomeromycota.